AUCGUAAACAUUGUCCAAGACAAGAAAGAGGGUUCGAAUGUGGCUACUUUGUUAUGAGAUUCAUUAAAGAGAUAAUUUUUUAUCCUACAAUUAUUGCUUCAAAGUUUGGUGAUAAAAAAAAAACAUAUUCUCAAGUAGAAUUCGAUGAAAUUAGAGGAGAAUGGGCUACUUUUGUGCUACAACUAAUCAUGAAUCAUGUUGAUGCAUCAUGAUCACCAUGCAUGGUGAG
This is a long non-coding RNA of Vitis vinifera (wine grape), 229 nucleotides long. RefSeq lists it as uncharacterized. The transcript has 3 exons. The record is from RefSeq and is a predicted model, not a curated record. Lineage: Eukaryota; Viridiplantae; Streptophyta; Magnoliopsida; Vitales; Vitaceae.